Chelonia mydas (Green sea turtle) is the source of this 748-nucleotide RNA transcript. NCBI's taxonomy places the organism in Eukaryota, Metazoa, Chordata, Testudines, Cheloniidae. The record is from RefSeq and is a predicted model, not a curated record.
GCGAGAUCCGGUUCCCGGCCCCGGUGGUGCUGGGAAGUAGCGCGCGGAACGGAGCCCUCGCCGCCAUGACUUCCGCGCUGGAGAACUACAUCAACCGUACUGUUGCAGUAAUUACUUCUGAUGGAAGAAUGAUUGUGGGAACCCUCAAAGGUUUUGAUCAGACCAUCAACUUGAUUUUGGAUGAAAGCCAUGAACGAGUGUUCAGUUCUUCACAAGGAGUUGAACAAGUAGUAUUGGGAUUGUACAUUGUUCGAGGAGAUAAUGUGUUCAGAACAGACAGUAACAGCAAACCUGCCUCAACGUUGACAUAGUGGGCAAACAUCUGUAGAAUGGCUAAAAUAGUUCAGGCUCCAGUUUUGGCACCCCUUACUGAAACAGCCAAAAAGUGUUCCAGUUAGCACUAGCUUGGAUGAAGAUGUGCACACUUAUCACUAGAAGUGAGGAAGACAUUUUACAAAGGCCCUGAAUAGCCAUCAGAGGGUUGUUUUUGUGCUGUCAUUGGUGAAAUUGAUGAAGAGACAGAUUCAGCACUUGACUUGGGGAAUAUUCGAGCAGAACCUUUGAACUCAGUAGCACACUGAACAGGAGAAACACAAGGAUGCACAAGGACUUUGUAAACUUUGGCUGUAUAGAACUAUUUAAAAAACAGCAUGAAGAAUUUUUACAAAUUGUUAUAACUUGGUUGGCCCACACUUUAUUUUGUGAAUGUGUUGUAGUUUGAUAUGUAAAUUAAAAUACCUACAUUUUA